Ananas comosus (pineapple) is the source of this 135-nucleotide long non-coding RNA. RefSeq lists it as uncharacterized. The transcript has 3 exons. NCBI's taxonomy places the organism in Eukaryota, Viridiplantae, Streptophyta, Magnoliopsida, Poales, Bromeliaceae. The record is from RefSeq and is a predicted model, not a curated record.
ACCCUUGAGGACUUUGAGCUUGUUUUGGAGCUUUUUGAGAGGUGGGAUUUGAAGGCCUCUAGCUCCCUUUUGGCAUUCGUGGGAGAUUUUUUAGCAUUCGGGUACUAGGAGAGUGGUGGACACCCUCGUCGGAGC